UGGGGAAUCUUGCACAAUGGGCGAAAGCCUGAUGCAGCGACGCCGCGUGGGGGAUGAAGGCCCUAGGGUCGUAAACCCCUUUCAGCAGGGACGAAGAUGACGGUACCUGCAGAAGAAGCACCGGCUAACUCUGUGCCAGCAGCCGCGGUAAUACAGAGGGUGCAAGCGUUGUUCGGAAUUACUGGGCGUAAAGCGCACGUAGGCGGCCCACUCAGUCAGGUGUGAAAUCCCCCGGCUCAACCGGGGAACGGCAUCUGAUACUGGUGGGCUCGAGGACAGUAGGGGUAAGCGGAACUCCAGGUGGAGCGGUGAAAUGCGUAGAUAUCUGGAGGAACACCGGUGGCGAAAGCGGCUUACUGGGCUGUGUCUGACGCUGAGGUGCGAAAGCUAGGGUAGCAAACGGGAUUAGAUACCCGGGUAGUCCCUGAGCGGGCUGGCAAGGCGCAU
Molecule: ribosomal RNA, 447 nt
Filed under: uncultured bacterium
Lineage: Bacteria
Description: bacterial SSU rRNA
Rfam family: Bacterial small subunit ribosomal RNA
Source: RNAcentral